This 603-nucleotide ribosomal RNA is filed under the name uncultured bacterium. RNAcentral's name for it is "bacterial SSU rRNA". It matches the Rfam family "Bacterial small subunit ribosomal RNA", at positions 796 to 1397 of the family's 1533-position model. The record is from RNAcentral.
CACGCCGUAAACGGGUGGGUGCUAGCUGUGGGCCACAUUCCACGUGGUCCGUGACGAAGUUAACACAUUAAGCACCCCGCCUGGGGAGUACGGCCGCAAGGCUAAAACUCAAAGGAAUUGACGGGGGCCCGCACAAGCGGCGGAGCAUGCGGAUUAAUUCGAUGCAACGCGAAGAACCUUACCAAGGCUUGACAUAUAGAGGAAAAGUGCAGAAAUGUACUCCCCGUAAGGUCUCUAUACAGGUGGUGCAUGGUUGUCGUCAGCUCGUGUCGUGAGAUGUUGGGUUAAGUCCCGCAACGAGCGCAACCCUCGUCCUAUGUUGCCAGCACGUUAUGGUGGGAACUCAUGGGAUACUGCCGGGGUCAACUCGGAGGAAGGUGGGGAUGACGUCAAAUCAUCAUGCCCCUUAUGUCUUGGGCUUCACGCAUGCUACAAUGGCCGGUACAGAGGGCUGCAAUACCGUAAGGUGGAGCGAAUCCCAAAAAGCCGGUCUCAGUUCGGAUUGAGGUCUGCAACUCGACCUCAUGAAGUCGGAGUCGCUAGUAAUCGUAGAUCAGCAACGCUACGGUGAAUACGUUCCCGGGCCUUGCACACACCGCCCGU